GAUGAACGCUAGCUACAGGCUUAACACAUGCAAGUCGCGGGGCAGCAUGGGGGUUGCUUGCAACCCCUGAUGGCGACCGGCGCACGGGUGAGUAACGCGUAUCCAACCUGCCCUUCACCACGGGAUAACCCGGCGAAAGUCGGACUAAUACCGUAUGUUGUCCAUUGACGGCAUCCGAUUUGGACGAAAGGCUUGGCGGUGUAAGGAUGGGGAUGCGUCCGAUUAGCUUGAUGGCGGGGUAACGGCCCACCGUGGCUACGAUCGGUAGGGGUUCUGAGAGGAAGGUCCCCCACACUGGAACUGAGACACGGUCCAGACUCCUACGGGAGGCAGCAGUGAGGAAUAUUGGUCAAUGGGCGUAAGCCUGAACCAGCCAAGUAGCGUGCAGGAUGACGGCCCUAUGGGUUGUAAACUGCUUUUAUGCGGGGAUAAAGUGGCCCACGUGUGGGCUUUUGCAGGUACCGCAGGAAUAAGGACCGGCUAAUUCCGU
RNAcentral lists this ribosomal RNA (490 nucleotides) under uncultured bacterium. RNAcentral's name for it is "partial 16S ribosomal RNA". It matches the Rfam family "Bacterial small subunit ribosomal RNA", at positions 28 to 506 of the family's 1533-position model. The record is from RNAcentral.